This is an RNA transcript of Platichthys flesus (European flounder), 5564 nucleotides long. It is a transcript of the gene named sterile alpha motif domain-containing protein 3-like, with no coding region annotated. The transcript has 4 exons. NCBI's taxonomy places the organism in Eukaryota, Metazoa, Chordata, Actinopteri, Pleuronectiformes, Pleuronectidae. The record is from RefSeq and is a predicted model, not a curated record.
CUGACUAUGACCUGGCGCUGACUACCGUAACCCUAACCUGCCGUUCACCUGCUGUCACACGGUACCGACGGAGACGGAGGGCUUCGAACCGAUCAGCGCGAAGUUUGCACUUGGCACCGGCGUGUUUUAAAAGAUCGGCACGAAGAGUUUUUUGCUGGACAGACUUGAGACUUACUUACAAGUUUCAGCGUCAGACUUACUGACGGAGAACCCCGUGACGAUAGUCCCCCACGCACGGUAACUUUGUUCUGUUAUUGCUUUUAUUACUCUUCAUGUCUUGGAUUUAGAAAUAUACAAGAAAAAUGUCUGACGCUUAAACUUGCUAAUGAGUUCAGUAAACGGCGCUAGCUUGAAGCCUCUCAAUACCCGCUUUUGAAAACCAUGUGGAAAUGUAAAUUGUGUGAUUUUUCUACUGCCCUACGAAUACGGUUAUUGAGACAUUACAGACUGAAUCAUGGCCAGUAUUCCACAAUUUCACCGUUACCAUGCCUGUAUAAGAACUGUUUGUGUACAUUUAGUACUUUUAAUUCACUAAAGGUACAUUUGUCAAGAUUACAUUCAGAGAAAAAAGUGGUAGGUGAAGACGGUCACGAUUUGAGUAUUCAGAGGGCAUUUCAUUGCCCUGUGUGUGACUUUAAGCAACCAUUUGUUGACAGGGACAUGUUUAUACACCUAAGGGGGCAUUUAAGACGGAAAGAAAUAGUGCCAUGUCCUUUCAGGGCCUGCACGUUUAAAACAAAUGUUUACUCCACAUUUAAUGCCCACAAAUCCAGAGAACACCAACAUGUGUCAGACUACGAUGUAGGAGUUGUGGUGCAAACUGUUUUUAAUGUUUGUCAGUAUAGUGACAUUGAACAGGAUCCAGUUCAGUUUUUAGAUGAAAAUGAAACUGCCACUGUGUCAGACAGAAGCAAUGAAGGGUUAGCAGAGCAGUUACAGUACAACCUGGCUGCCAUCUUCUAGAAAAUGCAAACCAUUCUCCAUGUAUCACAGAGGGCAACACAGGAAGUCAUUGAGCAUAUAGAUCAGUUGUUUUCACUUUCAGAACCUGUUAUCAGAAAAUCGGUAACAAAGAUAUUAGAAAAACAUAACUGCUCUGUUACUGAAACACUUGCAAAUGACAUUGUGCAGGCAGUUUCCGAGAGUAAUGUUUUGCAAAAAUCAGUUACAUCUGAAGGACCACUGUCCACAGCUAAGAGACGGAAAUCAUAUUAUGAGGAGAAGUUUCCAUUUGUUAGGCCUGUACAGUACCAUAUUGAGUCGUCCCAGCAUACCUUUAUGUAUGUGCCCAUUCUCACAUCUUUGCAGCAGCUGUUGAAAAAACCCGAUGUACUUGAGAAAGUCAAAGAAACUACUGCACAGUUGCCUGGGCAUUAUUCAUCAUACUGUGAUGGCUCCUACUACAAGGAAAAUCUGCUUCUUUCUGAUGAGGGUCAGAAAUUAUCAAUAAUUCUCUAUGUUGAUGAUUUUGAAAUUGCAAACCCUCUAGGAACAUCAAAAAAAAUACACAAAGUCUGUGCAGUUUAUUGGACAUUAGCUAACUUACCAGUAAAGUACCGCUCAGCCCUCCACAUUAUUCAACUGGCUCUAUUGUGCAAUUCAAAUGAUGUAAGGAAGUUUGGAUAUGCAAAAACAUUUGCACCCCUCUUGAGUGACCUAAAAACUCUUGAAGAAGCUGGUGUCUACAUUGAAACAUUUGGUGACUGCCUCAAAGGCACAGUCUUCUCUGUUGUGGCUGAUAACCUUGCUGCCCAUGGGCUAGCUGGUUUCAGUGAGAGUUUCAGGUCUACAUAUUUCUGCAGGUUUUGUCUUGCCACCCAGACAGAAUUGCAAUUGUCAGAUGCAGUUUCUGGUGGUUUUGAGUUGAGAACCAAAGAUCUGCAUGAUAACCAUGUUCAACAAAUACAGAACAAUGACAAUGGAGACAAUUGCGGUGUAAAAAGCAGUUGUGUUCUCUCUGACCAUCUCUCUUAUUUCCAUCCUGUCACUGGAUUUCCACCUGACAUCCUCCAUGACCUGUUUGAGGGUGUGGUUCCUGUGGAGUUGGCACAUUGUUUGAAAGGUUUGAUCACAAAAAAAUACUUCACUUUGGAAGAGUUGAAUAGGGCAAUACUGUCCUUUCCCUUACAACAUUCUGACAAGGUUGACCGCCCUCACCCGAUUCCUCAAACUUUUGCUAAAAGAGGAACAGUUGGGGGGAAUGGGCAUGAGAAUCACACUCUGAUUCGAUUGCUUCCUAUUCUCAUUGGCUCCAGAGUCCCAGAAGGGGAAAAAUUAUGGGAAGUGCUAAUGGACUUAAAAGAUAUUGUUGAGCUUGCUAUGUCUCAUAAUUUCAGUGAUGAUACUAUUCAGUACUUGGCAUGUAAGAUUUCAGAUCACAGGCAGCUGCUUCAGGAAGUCCUUCCUAACUUACGAUUACGCCCAAAGCAUCAUUACAUAGAGCAUUAUCCUCAUCUCAUUAAGUGCUUUGGUCCUCUGGUGCAUCUCUGGACAAUGAGAUUUGAGGGGAAGCACAAAGUUUUCAAGAAAAUUAUUCAUGACACUCAUAACUACAAAAAUGUGUUGAAAACUUUGGCAGAGAGACACCAAAACAUGAUGGCAUUCUAUUUGGCAUCUCCAAGGUUUUUCAAGCCACAAGUACAAACUUCAAAAGUGGAGUCUAUCUAUAUUGAGUCAUUGCCUACUGAUACACAUGCAUUAAUAUCGAACAUCACAGACAGCAGCAGUGUAUACGGCACAAAACAGGUAACCAUUGAAGGCACAACUUUUGUGGUGAGCAUGUUCGUUUGCACUGGAACGUAUGCUGCAUUGCCUGAGUUUAAAGAGAUCAGAAACAUAUUAUUAAUCAGAAAUCACAUCUUCUUUCUUCUGAAAGACUAUGAGACCGGGUAUAUUGAACAUUUACGGUCUUAUGAGCUAACACAUCAUAAAAGCAUGGAGGGCCAUACAGUGAAAUCUGUGUGUCAGCUAACUGAUCCAAUGCCACAUAUUGCCUACAAAGUUUCAGGCAAACUAAUUCUGACAAGUAAACAUUUCAUUCCAGUAUCUGAGUAGAGGAGUAGCACAACGGCAAGCAGCCUUCCUCAUCCAUUUUUCCGGUAAGGUACUAUGUGUUGAAGUAUAUCAUUACUGUAUAAUGGUUAGUUAUAUUUGUGAAUACGUUGAGUGUAUUAGCAUACACUUAAGAUUGCAUUGUUCCAAUUAUACCAUGCUCUGUUGUAAAAUAUUUAACCAGUCCAUGCCUAUUUAAAGGGAAUUUUCAAUAUUUUGGGAAAGUUAAAUUGAAGAGCAGCAAAAAAGUGAGCCGCUAAUGUACAGAUUAUAGCCUGCACCUGAAGUAACUAUUUGCGUUUUGUGUUACAGGUCUUCCUUAUACAGUGAGAAUGGAUCCAAAUGCCGUCCUAAAACUAAGGGUCAUCCUAGACGAUAUAAAUGCUGAAAGGCUUAUUUUGCCCUCUCGUUCUGAGACUGUAAACGCCCUCAUAUUGGAGGUAAAAAACAAGCUGAACUUGGCAUAUGACUUUCGCCUUCAGUUCCAAGACCCAGACUUUGACAAUGCUCUCUGUAAUUUAGUUAACAUAGAGGACCUCCCAUCCAAGGCAACCAUUAACAUAGUUAGAUUGGUUGAUUUACAUGUUAGUUCAACCAGCACAGAUGACACAGUGUUCCUGUCUGACAACACAUAUUCACAAGAGCGUCUUUUUCCAUGGCCAGAGAUAUUUGUCAUUCCAACAUUCUCAUAUGAGGUGGAGUAUGCUCUAAGAGAGGGCAACUCUGCAUAUGUGCAGGAAGGAAAAGCUCUUCGUUUGCUCAGGGAUCAAAAACACAACAUAUUGGAUUCAAUGGCUGCAGAAAUGUAUAAACAUAAAGCAUAUCCCAGUACCAAAGAGAUCGUGAAGGCUGCUGAGGCUCUGGUGAGCAAACACCCCUGUUUGAAAGAAACUGGUUCCAAAACGGGGUGCGAGGGUUGGAAGAACAGUUUGCGCUUCAAGAUGGGCAACUACAGGUCAAAACUGAGCAGGGCUGGCAUAAAGGAAGUGGCUGUGAAUUCAGGAAAGCGCAGCAGGACCAAUCCAGAGGGUGAGCCAUCCAGGGCCAACAUCAAAAGACCCAAAAGAGGGGAAGUCAACUUCCUCCCUAAUUAUCCACAGGGAGAAAGUAAGGACACAAUGGAUACCAUGAGGCUUGAGAUGGUGGAGCAGUUCAAGAGGACAUCGGUUGAAAGAGACGCGGUUCUCAUCCACCAACACAUGCAGCGUACCUUUGCACUAAGGCGCGAAGAAAUUGUGAAUUCAGGUCCUCCCAUUGCUGAACUUAAAGACCGAUGGCCUGCACUCUUUUCUGAAGCCCAACUCUACACUGAAUUCCACAGGAUCACCAACACAAAUCUGCCACAUUCCUUCUAUGCUGCCCUUGACAAGUAUACACCACUGCUGCUACAGCUUUACAAAAAGAAGAAAACCGGAAGUUUUGCAGAGAAGAUGGAAGAGGUUAUUAUGGCAUAUAAUGAUCAGGACAAGAAAAACAUCACUGCAGCUCGAAUGACAGCCCUAGCCGUCCUACCCCUCUACUUAAAGGAGGAUUCAUCAGAGGUCUUCAAAACUUGCAAGGAUGAGAUGGAGGCAACCCAGCAGGGAGCAGUGGCUCUGGUUGCAGUGGUGGAUGAAGCAGAGGUGCCUGCAGGAGUUCCCUUUGACACUCACCAUGUAUCGAUCAUCCUCGAAGAUCAAGUUGUUAUGUCUAGCAGAUCUUGGACUGAUUCACUUGUAAUUUUGUUUGGACUGAUAUAUGCUCUACAUUUGAGGUACCCUGAGAAGCUCAGUGGCUUCUUUGAGUUCAUCCAGGUGGUCAUGUUAAAUCUUGAUGAUGGGAGAAAGCAGCUCAAAGCUAAGUUGCAGUCCUUAAGAAAUGAGCUGGAGUAGGUUGUAAGUAGCUAAUAAUGUUGAAUGUCAGCAUCGUUUUGCCAAAAUAAAAAUAAUAUAUAUAAUAAUAAUAUAUAAUAUAAAUAAUAUAUGUAUAUAAAGUAAACUACGGCACAUCUGAUUUUUGUGUUUAAAAAAGAUCCUAUUCUUGGAUUGUUUCUGUGAUGUUCUCAGUUCUCUUCGUUACCACAUGGAAAUAUUUUUUAUUUAUAUUGAUAUUAUUUUUAUAUGAGCCUCAUUUCAUUCAUUUCAUCAACAGCUUCAUUGUAAAACAAUAUUGCCACGGAGUCCAAGGGAAUCCAAAUGUUGACGUUAAAAUGUUUUCUUUUGUCAGGUAUUGACACUUUGGGUGAACUAUACCUUUAAAACCCUCGUGUUGUCUUUGGGUCGGAUGACCCAGAGUGUGUGUUUGUGUGUGUGUGUGUGUGUGUGCAUGCAUGCGUGUGAUUGUGUCUAUUGCCUACGUGUGCGUCUUAAUAUACUGGGGAAAGCAAGGACAACACGAGGGUUAAACUGUUUACUUCAAAUGUGCCCUGCUUUAUGUUGUACAGUUCAUCGUUAUGGGCACAAGAAUGUGCUUGGUCUGCUGUAGCCUUUAAGUUGCAUUGAAAUGUGAACAACAAAAUAAAUUGCUCAAAGUGA